AUUUCUGCUUAUCAACUCUCUCCCUCUCACAUCUCUUCUCUGUGUUUGCUUCAUCUCUCUUUCAAACCAGAUAAAUAAAUAAAACCUUUAUUCAUAUCCCAUAAAUCUUUAAUCUUUUUCACAUCUGAUUUAUUAUUUCUUCAUCUUUAGAUCAAAAAGCUCCAAUCUUUCACUCUUAACACAACUUACAAUAAAGAACCUUUAUUUACUUGCUUCAAAAAUCAUAUCAUCUUCAUAACAAAGCCAGAAUCUUUUUCAUGGAUUUUCAAAUGAUUUAUUUUAUUUGUUAAUGAUUGCUAUAUUGUUUCAGAAAUGGGUAUUUGUUAAAGAUUCAAAUGGUGGUUUAGCUUCAUUUGAUCUCACCACAGUUUGUUCAAGAUUUCGUACUGUUUAAGUAUUUGAACAAUGGGUAAGGUUAACAAGGGGAAAUCAAAGAAAAGUUCGAUUGUUGCUCAUCGUGAAGAUGGAAGCGGGGAAGAAGAAAAGCUACCUACCAAGCGUAGUAGAGGAAGACCCACAAAGGCACAAAAGGAAGAAGAGUCUGAAAGGGUCAGUGAAAAUGAUGACACGAAACUUGAAGCUCCGUUAGAGAACGUAAACAAGAAAAAGAAACCGUCUGUAUCAACCAAAGAAAGCCUGGCAAAUGAUGAAAACGGUGUGGGGCCCACAAAAAACGAUUGUGGUCUAACAAAAUCUGUGGGGUUUAGACAUAAUGGAAGCAGGCGAAAGAACAAGCCACGGAGGGCAGCUGAAGUCGGGGUCAGUGUGUGUGAAGUAUGCAGUUGGUUAGUCCUCAGAAGCUGAGGAUAUUCGAUCUGAUUUCGGGUCUGGGCAAUGAUAUGAUAGGUAAGAGUUAUUUUUGUAUGGCAUUUUAUUAACUUUUGUAAUGCUUAGAAAUGUAAUGUUACUAGACUUAUGAUCUACAUUGAGAAUUUUGGCAGCAGAUUUAUCAUUAACCAAUUUUUGGUAAAACCAUAUUCAUUCA
Long non-coding RNA from Erigeron canadensis, 985 nucleotides. RefSeq lists it as uncharacterized. The transcript is spliced from 2 exons. Lineage: Eukaryota; Viridiplantae; Streptophyta; Magnoliopsida; Asterales; Asteraceae. The record is from RefSeq and is a predicted model, not a curated record.